Molecule: ribosomal RNA, 497 nt
Filed under: uncultured bacterium
Lineage: Bacteria
Description: partial 16S ribosomal RNA
Rfam family: Bacterial small subunit ribosomal RNA
Source: RNAcentral
GAUGAACGCUGGCGGCGUGCCUAAUACAUGCAAGUCGAGCGAACAGACGAGGAGCUUGCUCCUCUGACGUUAGCGGCGGUCGAGUGAGUAACACGUGGAUAACCUACCUAUAAGACUGGGAUAACUUCGGGAAACCGGAGCUAAUACCGGAUAAUAUAUUGAACCGCAUGGUUCAAUAGUGAAAGACGGUUUUGCUGUCACUUAUAGAUGGAUCCGCGCCGCAUUAGCUAGUUGGUAAGGUAACGGCUUACCAAGGCAACGAUGCGUAGCCGACCUGAGAGGGUGAUCGGCCACACUGGAACUGAGACACGGUCCAGACUCCUACGGGAGGCAGCAGUAGGGAAUCUUCCGCAAUGGGCGAAAGCUUGACGGAGCAACGCCGCGUGAGUGAUGAAGGUCUUCGGAUCGUAAAACUCUGUUAUUAGGGAAGAACAAAUGUGUAAGUAACUAUGCACGUCUUGACGGUACCUAAUCAGAAAGCCACGGCUAACUACGUG